CGGAAAGUCGGGUCGCCUCGAACGGCCCAAUCGCCUUGGGAGGGCAAGGGUUGCGAGUUCGAUUCUCGCCGUUUCGACCA
Molecule: transfer RNA, 80 nt
Filed under: Boseongicola sp. SB0664_bin_43
Lineage: Bacteria; Pseudomonadati; Pseudomonadota; Alphaproteobacteria; Rhodobacterales; Paracoccaceae
Also listed under: 2 other names
Description: tRNA-Ser
Source: RNAcentral